Molecule: long non-coding RNA, 2056 nt
Organism: Symphalangus syndactylus (siamang)
Lineage: Eukaryota; Metazoa; Chordata; Mammalia; Primates; Hylobatidae
Source: RefSeq, a predicted model, not a curated record
CCUCGUAUGGGGGUUGGUGUGGGGGGUGUCUCCCUCCCCUCUUCAGCUGCCUUCCUACCUCCAGGGGCACACCAAAUCACUGUGAUGACCUCACAAUCAUGCCUGGUGAUUAUGAGGAGUUAGUGGGAUGAUGCACCGGGCAACCACAGGGAUUGCUCACCAGUGACUCAGUGGUUGACUCAAAGGCUAGGGGGUGGUUUGGGGGUGGAGGCAGAGGUCCAGUGAGCUGGGCUCCACCCUUUCUCUCCCUGCAGUCACAACUCCAUCUUUAUCUGUGCUAUAUGUUGGAGUCUAGCCAAGAUGUCAUUUGAACAAAGAUUCUGAAAGAUCAAAGAAAAAAGUUUGAAAACUACCAGGACAAUGCUUUCAGGGGACUUUAUCCAAAAGACUGCAACAAUGUAAAGAGAUAUUAUUGCUUUUAUUACUGUGAUAUGUUUAGAGUAUUAUAAAUUUUUUAAGAGCUUCGUAAGUGACAGAAGUGAAGACAUGCUCAUUUUAAUGUUACCAGUCAACUCUGAGAAGACUAAAGUUCAAGGGACAAUGAAAAUAUGACCCUCACCAAGGACAGAAACUCCCAGGAAGCCACAAUUAACUCAAGACUACCAGGAUAUUUGGGGAAGUUUAUCCUCGUGGAAGACCAGAAUUUCUGAUUUGUGGAAAAUUCUAUAGAUAUUCUCUGCCAGACUCCAGCCUGUUUGUGUGAGACAUCUGGGGAGGCUCCCCUUUUUUUUCACCAUUUGAGGACUGCAAGUAAAUUUAGCUUCCUCAGCAGAAAGAAAAGAAGCUGUUUUGGAGGUUAGGAAGAGCUUUAGAAAAUGCGGCAUCAAGUCUGUUGCCCCCUUUGAAGAAAGCAGCUCUGGAAAAGGCCUAGGACAUUAGUUGCUACAAAGUUCUAGAUCAUUCUGUGUGGUAAAGAAGUGCCUUUCGUCUCCCACUGUGAUUCUGAGGCCUCCCCAGCCAUGUGGAACUAUCAGGUCUGUGUUGGUAAAUUAGACACCAUAUGGCCUUUCAACAUCCAGGAGCAAGAUGGCAGGAGGAUCAUGCCAACAACUGAGGUACCUUGCAGGAAAUCAAACAGGAAGAAAUCACCCAAUGGGAUCAGCUGGGCAAACAUGGGUCACCCCAGGUCUGGUCCCUCAAAUCUACCCAACCAAACCAUAUCAUAGUGGAUAGCUAUUAUCUUUACCUGACUAGCAUUCAUUGCCCCUUCUGGUAUGCCCUAUUCCCCACUCUCAAUCCCUCUGUUUUAAGAAUGCCGCCACCUCCACCUUCCAUCUCCAGGAGUGAUAUCCACCCAGGUUUGCUCAGUAAGACUACGAGACCUAUCUUCCUGGCCAUGGUGAUUGGUUCAGAAGCAACAUGCCAACCAACCUGAUCCAAUGAGAGUGAGUUCUAGGACUUUUGCUGGAACUACUGUAUGUCUAUAUAUAAAAGAGAAUCUAUCUUUCCAUUGAAAGCCAACGGUAAGAAGCCAAUAUGAUAUGCAAUUGAUUCUGUUAUGGAAAUCCACAUAAAACAAGGCUGCCCAAGUAUAAAACCAACACAGAAGAAAGCAGAGGUAAGAGACGGAAAAGGAAAUGGAGUGAACCAGUGACAGCAAGAGACUGAAGGACAUCAUUUGAGUGCCUGGAAUCAGCUAAGCCUGAAGAGAAGCCUAACCCUAAGCUUUUCAGUUGCCCAAGCCAUCAAAUUCCCAUCCCCAUUUUUUUGGUUCUUAAGCAGCUUGAACCAUAGUUGUCUCACUUGCGUGCAAGAGAUCCCUGAAGAUACAUGCACUCCCUCAGGUGAAGAUUUCCAUCAGUUAACAGAUCUGGGCACCCAGGGACCCUGGGACAGUCAUUCUGGUAGCAUGCUCUGGUAGAGAAUAACAGAGUCAAAUCUGACAGUCAGAGAGGAUCUGCCAGCCUCUGCUUAGAUAUAGCCCACUGGAAAGGAGAGAUGAUUAAUUUAGCCUUGAUUUCAAAACCUUGUCUUGUAUAUUCCAUUCAGCACUUUUUAUCUUCCUGUAUUCCCCUGGUUCCUCUCUAGCUGAAUAAAGAACAAUUUUUAAAGCAAA